Molecule: long non-coding RNA, 413 nt
Filed under: Phaseolus vulgaris (common bean)
Lineage: Eukaryota; Viridiplantae; Streptophyta; Magnoliopsida; Fabales; Fabaceae
Description: long non-coding RNA (PVUL_LNC002643)
Source: RNAcentral
AAAUAAUCCCUAAUUUAUGAAUUUAUACCUUUUUACAUUUUUUAUGAUCUUUAUUUGAAUAAGAGUAUUUUAUUCCCAAAUUUGGUGUUAAUUGCAGAUUUCUAAGGAAGAUUGGAGAUUUGGAUUAAAGAUGAAUGAUUUGAGCUAAAAAGAUAAAGAUAGAAGGUCCCAGAAUGGAAAAAGAUGCAAAGGAAGAUUGGGCCUUUUUUUAUGUUUUAUCAUUUAGCCCAUUAGCGCGACACAAUAAACAACCUAACCCUAGAAAACUAGGAUAAAUAGAGGGUUAGAGGCUCAACCUUAGUGUGCCAGAUUGAGAGGAAAACACCAUAGAGUGAGUUGUAACCCAAUUGGGAGAAUGGAAGGUGAUAGAAGUAUGCGUGGCUAAUUCUACCCUUUGGGAUUGAGAGUAAUCU